GUGGGGAAUAUUGGACAAUGGGCGAAAGCCUGAUCCAGCCAUGCCGCGUGUGUGAAGAAGGUCUUCGGAUUGUAAAGCACUUUAAGUUGGGAGGAAGGGCAGUAAGUUAAUACCUUGCUGUUUUGACGUUACCGACAGAAUAAGCACCGGCUAACUUCGUGCCAGCAGCCGCGGUAAUACGAAGGGUGCAAGCGUUAAUCGGAAUUACUGGGCGUAAAGCGCGCGUAGGUGGUUUUGUAAGUUGGAGGUGAAAUCCCCGGGCUCAACCUGGGAACUGCCUCCAAAACUGCAUGACUAGAGUACGGUAGAGGGUAGUAGAAUUUCCUGUGUAGCGGUGAAAUGCGUAGAUAUAGGAAGGAACACCAGUGGCGAAGGCGACUACCUGGACUGAUACUGACACUGAGGUGCGAAAGCGUGGGGAGCAAACAGGAUUAGAUACCCGGGUAGUCC
This 450-nucleotide ribosomal RNA is filed under the name uncultured bacterium. RNAcentral's name for it is "partial 16S ribosomal RNA". It matches the Rfam family "Bacterial small subunit ribosomal RNA", at positions 354 to 796 of the family's 1533-position model. The record is from RNAcentral.